GUGGCACUGUCUGAGAAAACGAAAGGUCUGGAGAACAAGUCUGAGCUCUGAGCGUGCAGUUGGGUCUCUGGGCCUGCAGCUUCACCUUACAACUGUAGCUGGCAGAAGAACCUAUUUGUUUUUGCUGGGAAAGCAGAGAGCCGUCGCAAACAUUUGAAUAUGCCUAUUUUUAACUUGCAUAUACAAUUUUCACAUCUAAAAUGCUUUAAAAACUAGAUUAAUAUGUUCUAAACUGCGAAAGAGAUUAUAAACGUCGUUCAAUUACAUCCUCAAAUGUUAGUCUUGGGUAAUCUGUCGUCCAGCAGAUGGCGGCGUUAACCUAUUUGUGUUCAUUGUGCUGUUCUGUGUUGUGUUGGGCUGAGAAAAGUGGUUAGGCCUACCAGCCUACACGAAAUAUUUUCAACGGAUUUACAGUAUCUGUCCCUGACUGUCGUGAUGUUUGCAUGGAAGAGCCUAAUGCAGAUAUGAACCACACUUUUCCUGUUUUUCUCAAGUCAAAUCUAAAAAGCAUUGCUGAUAUAUUCGCACUGGUCUGUGACAAGACUUGUUUAUGUGACCAGAACACGUGCUUCAGCAGCUCCAGUGAAAAGAAGGAAGACGUUCAUAUGGUUGAGAGCUGCGUGUUUGCUGACGGCUCUCCUGAUGCCGCUGUGUUCGUCUCCAGGAGGAUUAGACACUUCCUGAAUUACGUAAGUGAGCUAAUGAGCUACACACACACACACACACAUACGCUCAUACACACAGCAGUUCCUAUAGGGAGCUCAGACAGACCGUGUAUCCUCUCUCCCUCGGGUCUCUCACUGCCUG
Long non-coding RNA from Danio rerio (zebrafish), 807 nucleotides. The record is from Ensembl. NCBI's taxonomy places the organism in Eukaryota, Metazoa, Chordata, Actinopteri, Cypriniformes, Danionidae.